This is a long non-coding RNA of Plodia interpunctella (Indianmeal moth), 473 nucleotides long. RefSeq lists it as uncharacterized. Lineage: Eukaryota; Metazoa; Arthropoda; Insecta; Lepidoptera; Pyralidae. The record is from RefSeq and is a predicted model, not a curated record. The transcript is spliced from 3 exons.
CGUUCCAACUCAUCCUGACCUGGUGGCUGCACAGGUUCUGGUGGCGGCAUAGCCAAGGCUCUAAUGUAUAAAAACACAAGAUUAACUAAAAGGCCCACCACAGAACUUCCAAUGUCAAGGUAUUCGAAUACUGUUUUUUGCUAGUGCACCAAUAAUACCUGCUACAAAAAUACGCGUGCCAUAAACACCCGCCUGCCUGCAGCGUCCUCAACUAACUAGGCCCAAAUCCAUUUUAUAUUAUUUUAUACAUCUACGGUUAUUCAUUGUGAGCCCUUGAGUACUGUUAAAAAAAUAAUUAUACUCAAGACGAAAAUAUUUUGAAAAUCGCCCCAGACGACGAAGAUAACCAGGGUACUUAAAUCACCUACAGACCUAAACAAGGGAGUAGCCCGCACAUGCUGCGGCUCCGGCGAACUGGCACUGGAUAUUUCCGAUGGAGACGGGGACGGGCCCACGCUGGGCGUCUGCGGAAC